This 1309-nucleotide unclassified non-coding RNA is filed under the name Hevea brasiliensis (rubber tree). The record is from RNAcentral. Lineage: Eukaryota; Viridiplantae; Streptophyta; Magnoliopsida; Malpighiales; Euphorbiaceae.
AACGUGUGAAAAUCUGGCUCCAAGUCCCAUGUCCUGUUUCUGCACUGUCAUCAAUCAGAAGUCAGCCAGUCUACCAUUUCGUUCAAGAUCUGCAUCCCGUUUUGUGUCGGUGAUUCCUCUCUCUCUCGAAUUGUUACUAGUCUCUCUAUUCUUAAUCAUCCGUUUCACUUUCAUCCAUUGAAUCUUUUUCGCUUCUAUCGAUUGCUGUGCUUUUAUUAUUGUAGAUCAACGUUAAUUUUGCUUUAACGCUAAUUUGCUGCCCUUGUCUUAGAAUCUGGAAACGGAGUCAUUUUUCUAGUUCAUAUUCUUUAGCCAUGGCAUCAUCUUCCUCUGUUACCUCUACAACUCUUUAUUUGUUUCUCUAGAUUGUCAAGGAUCUACCAAAUUCUUCCUCAAAACGCCACAAUUAGCUCAAACUGUCAAAAGGGUUCCCAAAUGUCUUCGAUUCGAAUCGAUUCCUCAAAGCAAUUAGCCACGAGUAGCCUUGUCUUGGGUUAUGCUCUCUGUUCAAGCUUGCUUGCUGUGAUUAACAAGUUUGCCAUUACUAAAUUCAACUACCCUGGUCUUUUAACUGCAUUGCAGUACUUGACCUCUGCAUUGGGCGUAUGGGUUUUAGGCAAAUUAGGAUUUUUGCAUCAUGAUGCCUUCACAUAUGAAACUGCCAAGAAGUUUUUACCCGCUGCUAUUGUUUUCUACCUUGCAAUUUUUACAAAUACCAACCUUCUGAGCCAUGCCAAUGUGGAUACUUUUAUAGUGUUCAGAUCCUUGACACCCCUUUUGGUUGCUGUUGCUGAUGCUGUGUUUAGAAAACAGCCCAUCCCAUCGAAGCUCACUUUCUUGUCCUUGUUUAUCAUUUUGGGUGGUGCUGUUGGGUAUGUGGCCACUGAUUCUGGCUUUACUUUAACUGCCUACUCUUGGGCAUUUGCUUAUUUAGUGACCAUCACUUCGGAGAUGGUUUAUAUCAAGCACAUUGUGUCAAAUUUUGGUUUGAACACAUGGGGUCUUGUGUUGUACAACAAUUUGUUGUCAUUGAUGAUGGCUCCGGUGUUCUGGAUUCUCACAGGAGAGUAUAGGGAGGUGUUUGCUUCUUUGGGUUCAAAGGCUGGGAAUUGGUUCGAAUAUGAUGCAUUUUUUGCAGUUUCUUUGUCCUGUGUGUUUGGUUUGGCUAUUAGUUUUUUUGGAUUUGCGGCAAGGAGGGCGAUAUCUGCAACAGCAUUCACUGUGACUGGUGUAGUUAAUAAGUUUCUUACAGUUGUGAUCAAUGUGCUCAUUUGGGAUAAGCACGCCAGUCCAUUUGGUUUGCUUUGCC